Oncorhynchus tshawytscha (Chinook salmon) is the source of this 1077-nucleotide long non-coding RNA. NCBI's taxonomy places the organism in Eukaryota, Metazoa, Chordata, Actinopteri, Salmoniformes, Salmonidae. The record is from Ensembl.
UUCCUGUGGUGUUGGGGGUGACAGUAUUCCUCUCCUCUGGUUCCUGUGGUGUUGGGGGGUGACAGUAUUCCUCUCCUCUGGUUCCUGUGGUGUUGGGGGUGACAGUAUUCCUCUCCUCUCCUCUGGUUCCUGUGGUGUUGGGGGUGACAUAUUCCUCUCCUCUGGUUCCUGUGGUGGUGGUGUGUAAAGGUCAACGUGAAAGGCCUCUUUGUUUCAGCGUAGAGCCCCAGUCUGAGGCGAGAGGAGAAGAGACUGACUGCACUGAAUACACUACUGGGAAUGACUGGCCACUGGACAAGAGCACAGGAAUCUGGAAAUGGAGUUAUAGCUUUGAUUGGCAUGUAAAAUUAAUCCGGUGUUCCCAGAGGACUCAUUUUUCCAUUUUCUUUUCCCCUCAAAUUAAAUACGAAAAGAGUUAAAUGCUAUUUAUCUCUGAACUGUGUGCCACUGCCUACCACACUGCUGUUGAUGCUACCCUGGUAGCUGUGUCUGUUAAGACAACAUUCAGAGGCUGUUAAUGCUACCCUGGUAGCUGUGUCUGUCAAGACAACAUUCAGAGGCUGCUAAUGCUACCCUGGUAGCUGUGUCUGUCAAGACAACAUUCAGAGGCUGCUAAUGCUACCCUGGUAGCUGUGUCUGUCAAGACAACAUUCAGAGGCUGCUAAUGCUACCCUGGUAGCUGUGUCUGUCAAGACAACAUUCAGAGGCAGUCGUUUUUGUCUCUGCUUUUCUCUCAAGACGGAAAUGUACCUUGAAUGUCUUUCAAUAAGUUGACCCAAAUAGACAAUUGCUAUUCCAGACAGCGCUGUGUGCUCAGUUGAAUGUGUGAAUUCCAGCUGAACGCCAGAGGCCCCAGAAUCACUCACUGGGAAAUGCAAACAGAGUUCCUAUGGAUACACUGCUGUGCUGCAAACCUCUCUCUCUCUCUCCCUGACUCUCCCUCUCCCUGCCUCUCUCUCCCUGUCCCUGACUCUCUCUCUCCCUCUCCCUGACUCUCUCUCUCCCUCUCCCUGACUCUCUCUCUCCCUCUCCCUGACUCUCUCUCUCCCUCUCCCUGACUCUCUCUCUCCCUCUCCC